This 505-nucleotide ribosomal RNA is filed under the name uncultured bacterium. Its description in RNAcentral is "partial 16S ribosomal RNA". It matches the Rfam family "Bacterial small subunit ribosomal RNA", at positions 28 to 507 of the family's 1533-position model. The record is from RNAcentral.
GACGAACGCUGGCGGCGUGCCUAAUACAUGCAAGUGGGACGCAAGGAAACACACUGUGCUUGCACACCGUGUUUUCUUGAGUCGCGAACGGGUGAGUAACGCGUAGGUAACCUGCCUAUUAGCGGGGGAUAACUAUUGGAAACGAUAGCUAAUACCGCAUAAUAUUAAUUAUUGCAUGAUAAUUGAUUGAAAGAUGCAAGCGCAUCACUAGUAGAUGGACCUGCGUUGUAUUAGCUAGUUGGUAAGGUAAGAGCUUACCAAGGCGACGAUACAUAGCCGACCUGAGAGGGUGAUCGGCCACACUGGGACUGAGACACGGCCCAGACUCCUACGGGAGGCAGCAGUAGGGAAUCUUCGGCAAUGGACGAAAGUCUGACCGAGCAACGCCGCGGGAGUGAAGAAGGGUUUCGGAUCGUAAAGCUCGGUUGUAAGUCAAGAACGUGUGUGAGAGUGGAAAGUUCACACAGUGACGGUAGCUUACCAGAAAGGGACGGCUAACUACGUG